Long non-coding RNA from Xiphophorus maculatus (southern platyfish), 459 nucleotides. RefSeq lists it as uncharacterized. The transcript is spliced from 4 exons. Lineage: Eukaryota; Metazoa; Chordata; Actinopteri; Cyprinodontiformes; Poeciliidae. The record is from RefSeq and is a predicted model, not a curated record.
CCACAAUUACUGCUGCUCCAACCACAACAACAAAUUCUCCAACCACAACCACUGCACCUCCAGCAUUAAUAAGGCUGCUGAUUUUUAAAUCUGUUGAUGUAUUCACCACAGAUUUGGCAGACCCAUCAACAUCAGCAUUCCAAACACGUUCUGGACACAUACGGAAUAGUCUUGACCCACUUUUCAGAAAUGUGUUCCCUUCAUUCCAAAAGACUGGAGCUAUGGCAUUCAGAGCGGGCUCAAUCAUCAACUCUGUGGACCUUGAAUUUGAGUCAUCUUCUACUCCUAAUGAUACACUUGUCUCAGAGACGUUGGUUAACCAGCCUUCAAUAAUGGCAGAAUUUCACAUAGAUCCUGCGACCGUUUCUGUCAGCAACACAGUAACUGACACCACGACAACAGCUGCUCCAACAACAACCACAGCUGCUCCAACUACAACAAUGGCUGCUCCAACUACAA